RNAcentral lists this transfer RNA (84 nucleotides) under Gemmatimonadota bacterium. Its description in RNAcentral is "Gemmatimonadetes bacterium (marine sediment metagenome) tRNA-Gly". It matches the Rfam family "tRNA". Rfam says of the family: Transfer RNA (tRNA) molecules are approximately 80 nucleotides in length. Their secondary structure includes four short double-helical elements and three loops (D, anti-codon, and T loops). Further hydrogen bonds mediate the characteristic L-shaped molecular structure. tRNAs have two regions of fundamental functional importance: the anti-codon, which is responsible for specific mRNA codon recognition, and the 3' end, to which the tRNAs corresponding amino acid is attached (by aminoacyl-tRNA synthetases). tRNAs cope with the degeneracy of the genetic code in two manners: having more than one tRNA (with a specific anti-codon) for a particular amino acid; and 'wobble' base-pairing, i.e. permitting non-standard base-pairing at the 3rd anti-codon position. The record is from RNAcentral. Lineage: Bacteria; Pseudomonadati; Gemmatimonadota. RNAcentral also lists the same sequence under 1 other name.
GCCCCUGUGGUGGAACUGGCAGACGCGCCUACCUACCAAGUAGGUGACCGAAAGGUCGUGUGGGUUCGAGUCCCACCGGGGGCA